GUGAGGAAUAUUGGUCAAUGGUCUGACGACUGAACCAGCCAUGCCGCGUGAAGGUGACGGCCCUAUGGGUCUUAAACUUCUUUUGCAAGGGAGCAAUAAGGCGUACGUGUACGUCGAUGAGAGUACCUUGCGAAUAAGCAUCGGCUAACUCCGUGCCAGCAGCCGCGGUAAUACGGGGGAUGCAAGCGUUAUCCGGAUUUAUUGGGUUUAAAGGGUGCGUAGGCGGUCUGGUAAGUCAGCGGUGAAAUUUAGGGGCUCAACCUCUACCGUGCCGUUGAUACUGUCAGGCUAGAAUGCGGAUGCCGUGGGAGGAAUGUGUGGUGUAGCGGUGAAAUGCAUAGAUAUCACACAGAACACCGAUUGCGAAGGCAUCUCACGAAUCCGCAAUUGACGCUGAUGCACGAAAGCGUGGGGAUCAAACAGGAUUAGAAACCCCAGUAGUCC
Molecule: ribosomal RNA, 444 nt
Filed under: uncultured Rikenellaceae bacterium
Lineage: Bacteria; Pseudomonadati; Bacteroidota; Bacteroidia; Bacteroidales; Rikenellaceae
Description: bacterial SSU rRNA
Rfam family: Bacterial small subunit ribosomal RNA
Source: RNAcentral